RNAcentral lists this transfer RNA (87 nucleotides) under [Empedobacter] haloabium. RNAcentral's name for it is "tRNA-Leu". It matches the Rfam family "tRNA". Rfam says of the family: Transfer RNA (tRNA) molecules are approximately 80 nucleotides in length. Their secondary structure includes four short double-helical elements and three loops (D, anti-codon, and T loops). Further hydrogen bonds mediate the characteristic L-shaped molecular structure. tRNAs have two regions of fundamental functional importance: the anti-codon, which is responsible for specific mRNA codon recognition, and the 3' end, to which the tRNAs corresponding amino acid is attached (by aminoacyl-tRNA synthetases). tRNAs cope with the degeneracy of the genetic code in two manners: having more than one tRNA (with a specific anti-codon) for a particular amino acid; and 'wobble' base-pairing, i.e. permitting non-standard base-pairing at the 3rd anti-codon position. Lineage: Bacteria; Pseudomonadati; Pseudomonadota; Betaproteobacteria; Burkholderiales; Oxalobacteraceae. RNAcentral also lists the same sequence under 2 other names. The record is from RNAcentral.
GCCUCGAUGGUGAAAUUGGUAGACACACCGGACUUAAAAUCCGUUGGCCGUGAGGCCGUGCCGGUUCGAUUCCGGCUCGAGGCACCA